RNAcentral lists this ribosomal RNA (270 nucleotides) under uncultured archaeon. RNAcentral's name for it is "partial 16S ribosomal RNA". It matches the Rfam family "Archaeal small subunit ribosomal RNA", at positions 477 to 747 of the family's 1478-position model. The record is from RNAcentral.
CUGCAGCUCAAGUAGUGACCGCUAUUAUUGGGCCUAAAACGUUCGUAGCCGGUUUGGUAAAUGCCUGGGUAAAUAGUGUAGCUUAACUAUACGAAUUCCGGGUAGACUGCCAAACUUGAGACCGGGAGAGGCUAGAGGUACUCCUGGGGUAGAGGUGAAAUUCUGUAAUCCUGAGGGGACCACCAGUGGCGAAGGCGUCUAGCUAGAACGGGUCUGAUGGUGAGGAACGAAGCCCUGGGGCGCGAACCGGAUUAGAUACCCGAGUAGUCC